This 253-nucleotide ribosomal RNA is filed under the name uncultured bacterium. Its description in RNAcentral is "partial 16S ribosomal RNA". It matches the Rfam family "Bacterial small subunit ribosomal RNA", at positions 524 to 776 of the family's 1533-position model. The record is from RNAcentral.
UACAGAGGGUGCAAGCGUUGUUCGGAAUUAUUGGGCGUAAAGCGCGUGUAGGCGGCUUGGCAAGUCGGGUGUGAAAUCCCUCAGCUUAACUGAGGAAGUGCGCCCGAAACUGCUGAGCUUGAAUACCGGAGAGGAUGGCGGAAUUCCCCAAGUAGAGGUGAAAUUCGUAGAUAUGGGGAGGAACACCGGUGGCGAAGGCGGCCAUCUGGACGGCUAUUGACGCUGAGACGCGAAAGCAUGGGGAGCAAACAGG